RNAcentral lists this ribosomal RNA (257 nucleotides) under uncultured bacterium. RNAcentral's name for it is "partial 16S ribosomal RNA". It matches the Rfam family "Bacterial small subunit ribosomal RNA", at positions 524 to 777 of the family's 1533-position model. The record is from RNAcentral.
UACGAAGGGGGCUAGCGUUGCUCGGAAUCACUGGGCGUAAAGGGUGCGUAGGCGGGUCUUUAAGUCAGAGGUGAAAUCCUGGAGCUCAACUCCAGAACUGCCUUUGAUACUGAGGGUCUUGAGUAUGACAGAGGUGAGUGGAACUGCGAGUGUAGAGGUGAAAUUCGUAGAUAUUCGCAAGAACACCAGUGGCGAAGGCGGCUCACUGGGUCAUUACGUGACGCUGAGGCACGGAAAGCGUGGGGAAGCAAACAGGG